GACGAACGCUGGCGGCGUGCUUAACACAUGCAAGUCGAACGGAAAGGCCCUGCUUUUGUGGGGUGCUCGAGUGGCGAACGGGUGAGUAACACGUGAGUAACCUGCCCUUGACUUUGGGAUAACUUCAGGAAACUGGGGCUAAUACCGAAUAAGAGCUCCUGCACAAAAGAAAAGGAUAGAAAAUGUCGGCGGUUGGGGAUGGACUCGCGGCUUAUCAGCUUGUUGGUGGGGUAGUGGCUUACCAAGGCGUUGACGGGUAGCCGGCCUGAGAGGGUGACCGGCCACAUUGGGACUGAGAUACGGCCCAGACUCCUACUGGAGGCAUCAGUGUGUAAGUUGGCAGUAUGGUCGGAAGCUUGAUGCAGCAACGCCGCGUGCGGGAUGACGGCCUUCGGGUUGUAAACUGCUUUCGCCUGUGACGAAGCGUGAGUUUCUGUAAUGUGUAAAGAAGCACCGGCUAACUACUUG
This 468-nucleotide ribosomal RNA is filed under the name uncultured bacterium. RNAcentral's name for it is "partial 16S ribosomal RNA". It matches the Rfam family "Bacterial small subunit ribosomal RNA", at positions 28 to 507 of the family's 1533-position model. The record is from RNAcentral.